CCCGAAUCAAGAAUCACUGUGCACCCCCAUUAGCCCCUUCUGAAGCAAAGCAAAGAGAACCCUAGCCCUAGGAUCCUUGCCGCCGCCGUCCCUAGGUUCUCGGCACAUCCACUUCUUCCUCUUCCCCCUGUCCGGAACCCAGGUAGCUCGGCUCGUCAUCCCCAUCUUCCCUGUCUUCUCUGUUUGUGGCUUGGAGCAGCUCGCCGUUGGUUUGCCGCUUGCCGUCGCCUCGCCUAUCGUCGUCGUCUCGUUGAUUGCCAUCCGUGUCUCCGUCGAAGGUUCAGUGUUGGCUUCAACUUUCAAAUGGGAAUUGGGAGCUGGUGAAGAUAAUAGCAUCUUUUAGAAUUGAGUCUGUUGUUUCACUUCCUAAUGGGAAAGUAAGAUAUGAUCUAGAAUUACCAUAGUACACAGUGAUGUCUGUUCCAUCUAGCUGGACUCAGUGAGACAACUG
Arachis ipaensis is the source of this 451-nucleotide non-coding RNA. The record is from RefSeq and is a predicted model, not a curated record. Lineage: Eukaryota; Viridiplantae; Streptophyta; Magnoliopsida; Fabales; Fabaceae.